GGCUGGUCCGAUGGUAGUGGGUUAUCCGAAUUUAUUAACAUUAGUGUCAGUAAAGUUGGUAUACAACCCCCCACUGCUAAAUUUGACUGGCUUUUU
This 96-nucleotide Y RNA is filed under the name Castor canadensis (American beaver). Its description in RNAcentral is "Y RNA (ENSCCNG00000007326.1)". It matches the Rfam family "Y RNA". Rfam says of the family: Y RNAs are components of the Ro ribonucleoprotein particle (Ro RNP), in association with Ro60 and La proteins. The Y RNAs and Ro60 and La proteins are well conserved, but the function of the Ro RNP is not known. Lineage: Eukaryota; Metazoa; Chordata; Mammalia; Rodentia; Castoridae. The record is from Rfam by way of RNAcentral.